GCGGGCAUCGUAUAGUGGCUAUUACCCGAGCUUCCCAAGCUCGUGACGCGGGUUCGAUUCCCGCUGCCCGCUCCA
This 75-nucleotide transfer RNA is filed under the name Zetaproteobacteria bacterium. RNAcentral's name for it is "tRNA-Gly". It matches the Rfam family "tRNA". Rfam says of the family: Transfer RNA (tRNA) molecules are approximately 80 nucleotides in length. Lineage: Bacteria; Pseudomonadati; Pseudomonadota; Candidatius Mariprofundia. The record is from RNAcentral.